This 496-nucleotide ribosomal RNA is filed under the name uncultured bacterium. RNAcentral's name for it is "partial 16S ribosomal RNA". It matches the Rfam family "Bacterial small subunit ribosomal RNA", at positions 29 to 507 of the family's 1533-position model. The record is from RNAcentral.
AUGCACGCUGGCGGCGUGCCUAAUACAUGCCAGUCGAGCGAACAGAUGAGGAGCUUGCUCCUCUGACGUUAGCGGCGGACGGGUGAGUAACACGUGGAUAACCUACCUAUAAGACUGGGAUAACUUCGGGAAACCGGAGCUAAUACCGGAUAAUAUAUUGAACCGCACGGUUCAAUAGUGAAAGACGGUUUUGCUGUCACUUAUAGAUGGAUCCGCGCCGCAUUAGCUAGUUGGUAAGGUAACGGCUUACCAAGGCAACGAUGCGUAGCCGACCUGAGAGGGUGAUCGGCCACACUGGAACUGAGACACGGUCCAGACUCCUACGGGAGGCAGCAGUAGGGAAUCUUCCGCAAUGGGCGAAAGCCUGACGGAGCAACGCCGCGUGAGUGAUGAAGGUCUUCGGAUCGUAAAACUCUGUUAUUAGGGAAGAACAAAUGUGUAAGUAACUAUGCACGUCUUGACGGUACCUAAUCAGAAAGCCACGGCUAACUACGUG